AGCUGGUCCGAGUGCGGUGGUGUUACUACUAAUUAACCACAACCAGUUAAAGAUUUCUUUGUUCCUUCUCCACUCCCUCUGCUUUACUUACUUACAGAA
Molecule: unclassified non-coding RNA, 99 nt
Organism: Cebus imitator (Panamanian white-faced capuchin)
Lineage: Eukaryota; Metazoa; Chordata; Mammalia; Primates; Cebidae
Rfam family: Y RNA
About the family: Y RNAs are components of the Ro ribonucleoprotein particle (Ro RNP), in association with Ro60 and La proteins.
Source: Ensembl